CCUACGGGAGGCAGCAGUGAGGAAUAUUGGUCAAUGGACGAGAGUCUGAACCAGCCAAGUAGCGUGAAGGAUGACUGCCCUAUGGGUUGUAAACUUCUUUUAUAUGGGAAUAAAAUGUUCCACGUGUGGGAUUUUGUAUGUACCAUAUGAAUAAGGAUCGGCUAACUCCGUGCCAGCAGCCGCGGUAAUACGGAGGAUCCGAGCGUUAUCCGGAUUUUUUGGGUUUAAAGGGAGCGUAGGUGGAUUGUUAAGUCAGUUGUGAAAGUUUGCGGCUCAACCGUAAAAUUGCAGUUGAAACUGGCAGGCGUGAGUACAGUAGAGGUGGGCGGAAUUCGUGGUGUAGCGGUGAAAUGCUUAGAGAUCACGAAGAACUCCGAUUGCGAAGGCAGCUCACUGGACUGCAACUGACACUGAGGCUCGAAAGUGUGGGUAUCAAACAGGAUUAGAUACCCCUGUAGUC
This 460-nucleotide ribosomal RNA is filed under the name uncultured bacterium. RNAcentral's name for it is "partial 16S ribosomal RNA". It matches the Rfam family "Bacterial small subunit ribosomal RNA", at positions 338 to 795 of the family's 1533-position model. The record is from RNAcentral.